Molecule: ribosomal RNA, 481 nt
Filed under: uncultured bacterium
Lineage: Bacteria
Description: bacterial SSU rRNA
Rfam family: Bacterial small subunit ribosomal RNA
Source: RNAcentral
GAUGAACGCUAGCGGCAGGCUUAAUACAUGCAAGUCGAACGGUAACAGGUCUUCGGACGCUGACGAGUGGCGCACGGGUGAGGAACACGUACACAAUCUACCUUAUACUGGAGAAUAGCCCCGGGAAACUGGGAUUAAUACUUUAUAGUCUUUAAUGAUCACAUGAGAAAUAAAGUAAAGCUUCGGCGGUAUAAGAUGAGUGUGCGUCCCAUUAGAUUGUUGGUGAGGUAACGGCUCACCAAGUCGACGAUGGGUAGCUGGCGUGAGAGCGCGACCAGCCACACUGGCACUGAGACACGGGCCAGACUCCUACGGGAGGCAGCAGUAGGGAAUAUUGGUCAAUGGACGAAAGUCUGAACCAGCCAUGCCACGUGGAGGAUGACUGCCCUCUGGGUUGUAAACUCCUUUUAUAUGGGAAGAAACCUCUGGAUUCACUCCAGAGCUGACGGUAUCAUAUGAAUAAGCACCGGCUAACUCCGUG